Molecule: ribosomal RNA, 1359 nt
Filed under: uncultured bacterium
Lineage: Bacteria
Description: bacterial SSU rRNA
Rfam family: Bacterial small subunit ribosomal RNA
Source: RNAcentral
GAUGAACGCUGGCGGCGUGCUUAACACAUGCAAGUCGAACGAAGCACUUUACCGGAUUUCUUCGGGAUGAAAGUUUUGUGACUGAGUGGCGGACGGGUGAGUAACGCGUGGGUAACCUGCCUCAUACAGGGGGAUAACAGUUAGAAAUGACUGCUAAUACCGCAUAAGACCACAGGAUUGCAUGAUCCGGUGGUAAAAACUCCGGUGGUAUGAGAUGGACCCGCGUCUGAUUAGGUAGUUGGUGGGGUAACGGCUCACCAAGCCGACGAUCAGUAGCCGACCUGAGAGGGUGACCGGCCACAUUGGGACUGAGACACGGCCCAAACUCCUACGGGAGGCAGCAGUGGGGAAUAUUGCACAAUGGGGGAAACCCUGAUGCAGCGACGCCGCGUGAGCGAUGAAGUAUUUCGGUAUGUAAAGCUCUAUCAGCAGGGAAGAAUUAGGACGGUACCUGACUAAGAAGCACCGGCUAAAUACGUGCCAGCAGCCGCGGUAAUACGUAUGGUGCAAGCGUUAUCCGGAUUUACUGGGUGUAAAGGGAGCGUAGACGGAGAGGCAAGUCUGAUGUGAAAACCCAGGGCUCAACCCCGGGACUGCAUUGGAAACUGUUUUUCUAGAGUGUCGGAGAGGUAAGUGGAAUUCCUAGUGUAGCGGUGAAAUGCGUAGAUAUUAGGAGGAACACCAGUGGCGAAGGCGGCUUACUGGACGAUGACUGACGUUGAGGCUCGAAAGCGUGGGGAGCAAACAAAAUUAGAUACCCUGGUAGUCCCCGCCGUAAACGAUGACUGCUAGGUGUCGGGAGGCAAAGCCUCUCGGUGCCGCAGCAAACGCAAUAAGCAGUCCACCUGGGGAGUACGUUCGCAAGAAUGAAACUCAAAGGAAUUGACGGGGACCCGCACAAGCGGUGGAGCAUGUGGUUUAAUUCGAAGCAACGCGAAGAACCUUACCUGCCCCCGACAUCCGGCUGACUGGCGAGUAAUGUCGCCUUUCCUUCGGGACAGCCGAGACAGGUGGUGCAUGGUUGUCGUCAGCUCGUGUCGUGAGAUGUUGGGUUAAGUCCCGCAACGAGCGCAACCCUUAUCUUUAGUAGCCAGCAUUUCGGAUGGGCACUCUAGAGAGACUGCCAGGGAUAACCUGGAGGAAGGUGGGGAUGACGUCAAAUCAUCAUGCCCCUUAUGGGCAGGGCUACACACGUGCUACAAUGGCGUAAACAAAGGGAGGCAAGCCUGCGAGGGUGAGCAAAUCCCAAAAAUAACGUCUCAGUUCGGAUUGUAGUCUGCAACUCGACUACAUGAAGCUGGAAUCGCUAGUAAUCGCGAAUCAGAAUGUCGCGGUGAAAAAGAUCCCGGGUCUUGCACA